This 587-nucleotide ribosomal RNA is filed under the name Lactiplantibacillus plantarum. Its description in RNAcentral is "bacterial SSU rRNA". It matches the Rfam family "Bacterial small subunit ribosomal RNA", at positions 378 to 957 of the family's 1533-position model. The record is from RNAcentral. Lineage: Bacteria; Bacillati; Bacillota; Bacilli; Lactobacillales; Lactobacillaceae.
AAAGUCUGAUGGAGCAACGCCGCGUGAGUGAAGAAGGGUUUCGGCUCGUAAAACUCUGUUGUUAAAGAAGAACAUAUCUGAGAGUAACUGUUCAGGUAUUGACGGUAUUUAACCAGAAAGCCACGGCUAACUACGUGCCAGCAGCCGCGGUAAUACGUAGGUGGCAAGCGUUGUCCGGAUUUAUUGGGCGUAAAGCGAGCGCAGGCGGUUUUUUAAGUCUGAUGUGAAAGCCUUCGGCUCAACCGAAGAAGUGCAUCGGAAACAGGGAAACUUGAGUGCAGAAGAGGACAGUGGAACUCCAUGUGUAGCGGUGAAAUGCGUAGAUAUAUGGAAGAACACCAGUGGCGAAGGCGGCAGUCUGGUCUGUAACUGACGCUGAGGCUCGAAAGUAUGGGUAGCAAACAGGAUUAGAUACCCUGGUAGUCCAUACCGUAAACGAUGAAUGCUAAGUGUUGGAAGGUUUCCGCCCUUCAGUGCUGCAGCUAACGCAUUAAGCAUUCCGCCUGGGGAGUACGGCCGCAAGGCUGAAACUCAAAGGAAUUGACGGGGGCCCGCACAAGGGUGGAGCAUGUGGUUUAAUUCGAAGC